Molecule: long non-coding RNA, 1263 nt
Filed under: Equus caballus (horse)
Lineage: Eukaryota; Metazoa; Chordata; Mammalia; Perissodactyla; Equidae
Description: lncRNA (ENSECAG00000050824.1)
Source: RNAcentral
GGACUCCUGGACCACACAACCCUUGAGUUAUCACCGAGGCUGAGGCAGCAGGGAGACCAGAGCAGCCUGGGCAGCUCAGAGAUUGGAUGAGGGAGCCAGUGGAGCAAUGGAGGUCCCUGCUCGGCUGCCCACCCCACCCCCGACCAGGCCUCCCUCACUGAGGAGGUGCCUGUGGGAGAAGUGGGGCUGAUUCACACGGACCCAUCCCCAUCACGGGUGGCACGGCUUGCCAAGCACAUCAUCUUCCUGACAGGCCUGCAGUGCCAGCCUCUUAAAUAGAGCCCAGCCCUUUGGAAUGGUUUAUAGAUGGAGUUAUGGGAUGUCACUUACAUGCCAGUUGAAAAUCAAUUCUGGUAUCUUCUUUUCUUCCUGAGGAAUUCCUGCUUUUGCUCAGAUUAACCAGAUGGUUCCUUUGUUGGGCAUUUAAGACUCUCCCUUUUCAGGCAACUUCAUUUCAUAAGGGGUCAACUCCAGCGUGGGUGGGUCUAUAUUUUCUGGAGAGAAGCCCUGCACCCGGACGCUUGGCUGAGAGAGUAGGGUUGGCCUCAAGGCCACCAAUGUUGUUUAAAAGCCCCAGUGAGAGGAACAAUAUUUAGGGACUUUUGCUGGAAAGAGAUUGUGGCUCAUGGCCUCCUCCUGAUAGACUCAAAUAUGUCCCUUAAACAAGGUAGAGGUACAGAGAGCUGGGGUCUGGGCCACAUAUACUGGGCCCUCCCUAGAAUUUGCUUCCUCUUUGAUGGUGAUCCCAUCGGCUCACAUGGACGGAUGUGGUAAGAAACCCUGAAAGCACAUGACUUCGUCUGUUGUUAGGAUGUUGUUGCUGAGGACCUUUGGACUGAGUGACAAAGUGUCCACUGUGCGAAGACCCUUGGGGGAAUGCUCAUCUGGUCUCCAGCCCAGCGUUACUGACCCUCCUACUCAACCACUGGUCUUUGUAUCUCAUGGCAGUUUCAUGGAGUCCUUGGCUUCAGCUGCCUUCUGGAUCAGAAUUGCAAUUGGCCACAUGUAAUAGAAUCGCCGAGACCUUGGUCUAGUCAAGUCGGAGACGGUCCUCUUCACAUGCUGAUGAGCGCAGAGGCAGACCAUCCAGGGGCGGUGCAGGGACUCCACAGCGUCAUCGAUGUCUCCGAUUCCAACUGUUGUUUUACUCCACCAUCUGUGACCUGUGGCAUCUGGUCCCACGGCUGCCGCAGCUCCAGACUCAUGUGUGCAUUUCAGAUGGGGGAAGAGAGAAGAGUAGGGCCAAGCUGCAUGCCAUCCUAG